CCUUCCGUAUGAAAUUUUGAUAUUUUGAUCUUUUUAAAAAAAUUAUUUUACAAAUAGAAAAAAAAACUUACAUUUUUAUCACGCCAACACCAUUAGCGUCGUUGGGACGGCGUCAAUGUCAUUCACGUUGUACUAUACGACGACGACGGCGCCAAUGACAUUAGCACGGUCAAAAAGAUCUAUUUAUACCAUAAGUUUUUUAGUGGUCUAUUU
Molecule: long non-coding RNA, 213 nt
Filed under: Oryza brachyantha (malo sina)
Lineage: Eukaryota; Viridiplantae; Streptophyta; Magnoliopsida; Poales; Poaceae
Description: long non-coding RNA (OBRA_LNC003065)
Source: RNAcentral